AACUCUCUGUACUUNCCCUAUACCACUUCCUA
RNAcentral lists this transfer RNA (32 nucleotides) under Discoglossus pictus auritus. RNAcentral's name for it is "partial tRNA-Gln". The record is from RNAcentral. Lineage: Eukaryota; Metazoa; Chordata; Amphibia; Anura; Alytidae.